This 420-nucleotide ribosomal RNA is filed under the name uncultured bacterium. RNAcentral's name for it is "bacterial SSU rRNA". It matches the Rfam family "Bacterial small subunit ribosomal RNA", at positions 342 to 835 of the family's 1533-position model. The record is from RNAcentral.
CGGGAGGCAGCAGUGGGGAAUCUUGCGCAAGGGGCUGGCUAACAUCCAGCUUGAUGACGGUACCUCUUUAGCAAGCACCGGCUAACUCUGUGCCAGCAGCCGCGGUAAGACAGAGGGUGCAAACGUUGUUCGGAAUUACUGGGCGUAAAGCGCGUGUAGGCUGCUUCGAAAGUCGGAUGUGAAAGCCCUGGGCUCAACCUAGGAAGUGCAUUCGAAACUUCGAAGCUGGAGUCCUGGAGAGGAUAGCGGAAUUCUCGGUGUAGAGGUGAAAUUCGUAGAUAUCGAGAGGAACACCGGUGGCGAAGGCGGCUAUCUGGACAGUGACUGACGCUGAGACGCGAAAGCGUGGGGAGCAAACAGGAUUAGAUACCCUGGUAGUCCACGCCGUAAACGAUGGGUGCUAGGUGUCGCGGGCUUUGA